AUUGAACGCUGGCGGCAUGCUUUACACAUGCAAGUCGAACGGUAACAGGUUAAGCUGACGCGUGGCGAACGGGUGAGUAAUGCAUCGGAACGUGCCCGGUCGUGGGGGAUAACGCAGCGAAAGCUGCGCUAAUACCGCAUACGAUCUAAGGAUGAAAGCGGGGGACCGUAAGGCCUCGCGCGAUCGGAGCGGUCGAUGUCAGAUUAGGUAGUUGGUGGGGUAAAGGCUCACCAAGCCAACGAUCUGUAGCUGGUCUGAGAGGACGACCAGCCACACUGGGACUGAGACACGGCCCAGACUCCUACGGGAGGCAGCAGUGGGGAAUUUUGGACAAUGGGCGAAAGCCUGAUCCAGCAAUGCCGCGUGCAGGAAGAAGGCCUUCGGGUUGUAAACUGCUUUUGUACGGAGCGAAAAAGCCUUGGCUAAUACCCAGGGUCCAUGACGGUACCGUAAGAAUAAGCACCGGCUAACUACGUGCCAGCAGCCGCCGUAA
RNAcentral lists this ribosomal RNA (493 nucleotides) under uncultured bacterium. Its description in RNAcentral is "partial 16S ribosomal RNA". It matches the Rfam family "Bacterial small subunit ribosomal RNA", at positions 30 to 523 of the family's 1533-position model. The record is from RNAcentral.